AGCAACAAAUGCCCUGCUUCCAGGAAAAGCCUCUAAGCCUCAGGUAACAUCAAAUCGUACCCCAAACCGACACAGGUGGUCAGGUAGAGAAUACCAAGGCGCUUGAGAGAACUCGGGUGAAGGAACUAGGCAAAAUGGUGCCGUAACUUCGGGAGAAGGCACGCUGACACGUAGGUGAAGUGGUUUACCCAUGGAGCUGAAGUCAGUCGAAGAUACCAGCUGGCUGCAACUGUUUAUUAAAAACACAGCACUGUGCAAACACGAAAGUGGACGUAUACGGUGUGACGCCUGCCCGGUGCCGGAAGGUUAAUUGAUGGGGUCAGCGCAAGCGAAGCUCCUGAUCGAAGCCCCGGUAAACGGCGGCCGUAACUAUAACGGUCCUAAGGUAGCGAAAUUCCUUGUCGGGUAAGUUCCGACCUGCACGAAUGGCGUAAUGAUGGCCAGGCUGUCUCCACCCGGGACUCAGUGAAAUUGAACUCGCUGUGAAGAUGCAGUGUACCCGCGGCAAGACGGAAAGACCCCGUGAACCUUUACUAUAGCUUGACACUGAACACUGGUCCUUGAUGUGCAGGAUAGGUGGGAGGCUUUGAAGUGUGGACGCCAGUCUGCAUGGAGCCGUCCUUGAAAUACCACCCUUUAAUGGCUGGUGUUCUAACGUGGGCCCGUAAUCCGGGUUGCGGACAGUGUCUGGUGGGUAGUUUGACUGGGGCGGUCUCCUCCUAAAGAGUAACGGAGGAGCACGAAGGUUGGCUAAUCCUGGUCGGACAUCAGGAGGUUAGUGCAAUGGCAUAAGCCAGCUUGACUGCGAGCGUGACGGCGCGAGCAGGUGCGAAAGCAGGUCAUAGUGAUCCGGUGGUUCUGAAUGGAAGGGCCAUCGCUCAACGGAUAAAAGGUACUCCGGGGAUAACAGGCUGAUACCGCCCAAGAGUUCAUAUCGACGGCGGUGUUUGGCACCUCGAUGUCGGCUCAUCACAUCCUGGGGCUGAAGUAGGUCCCAAGGGUAUGGCUGUUCGCCAUUUAAAGUGGUACGCGAGCUGGGUUUAGAACGUCGUGAGACAGUUCGGUCCCUAUCUGCCGUGGGCGCUGGAAGAUUGAGGGGGGCUGCUCCUAGUACGAGAGGACCGGAGUGGACGCAUCACUGGUGUUCGGGUUGUCAUGCCAAUGGCACUGCCCGGUAGCUACAUGCGGAAGAGAUAAGUGCUGAAAGCAUCUAAGCACGAAACUUGCCCCGAGAUGAAUCUUCCCUGAGCCUUUAAGGCUCCUGAAGGAACGUUGAAGACGACGACGUUGAU
This 1292-nucleotide ribosomal RNA is filed under the name Salmonella enterica subsp. enterica. Its description in RNAcentral is "partial 23S ribosomal RNA". It matches the Rfam family "Bacterial large subunit ribosomal RNA", at positions 1589 to 2857 of the family's 2925-position model. The record is from RNAcentral. Lineage: Bacteria; Pseudomonadati; Pseudomonadota; Gammaproteobacteria; Enterobacterales; Enterobacteriaceae.